GACGAACGCUGGCGGCGUGCUUAACACAUGCAAGUCGAACGGAAAGGCCCUGCUUUUGUGGGGUGCUCGAGUGGCGAACGGGUGCGUAACACGUGAGUAACCUGCCCUUGACUUUGGGAUAACUUCACGUAACUGGGGUUAAUCUCGGAUAGGAGCUCCUGUUCCAUGGUGGGGGUUGGAAAGUUUCGGCGGUUGGGGAUGGACUCGCGGCUUAUCAGCUUGUUGGUGGGGUAGUGGCUUACCCAGGAUUUGACGGGUAGCUGGCCUGUGAGGGUGGCCGGCCACAAUGGUACUGAGAUACGGCCCAGACUCCUACGGGAGGCAGCAGUGGGGAAUAUUGCACAAUGGGCGGAAGCCUGAUGCGGCAACGCCGCGUGCGGGAUGACGGCCUUCGGGUUGUAAACCGCUUUCGCCUGUGACGAAGCGUGAGUGACGGUAAUGGGUAAAGAAGCACCGGCUAACUACGUG
RNAcentral lists this ribosomal RNA (468 nucleotides) under uncultured bacterium. Its description in RNAcentral is "partial 16S ribosomal RNA". It matches the Rfam family "Bacterial small subunit ribosomal RNA", at positions 28 to 507 of the family's 1533-position model. The record is from RNAcentral.